AUUGAACGCUGGCGGCAGGCCUAACACAUGCGAGUCGAGCGGAUGAAGGGAGCUUGCUCCUGGAUUCAGCGGCGGACGGGUGAGUAAUGCCUAGGAAUCUGCCUGGUAGUGGGGGAUAACGUCCGGAAACGGGCACUAAUACCGCAUACGUCCUGAGGGAGAAAGUGGGGGAUCUUCGGACCUCACGCUAUCAGAUGAGCCUAGGUCGGAUUAGCUAGUUGGUGGGGUAAAGGCCUACCAAGGCGACGAUCCGUAACUGGUCUGAGAGGAUGAUCAGUCACACUGGAACUGAGACACGGUCCAGACUCCUACGGGAGGCAGCAGUGGGGAAUAUUGGACAAUGGGCGAAAGCCUGAUCCAGCCAUGCCGCGUGUGUGAAGAAGGUCUUCGGAUUGUAAAGCACUUUAAGUUGGGAGGAAGGGCAGUAAGUUAAUACCUUGCUGUUUUGACGUUACCAACAGAAUAAGCACCGGCUAACUUCGUG
Molecule: ribosomal RNA, 484 nt
Filed under: uncultured bacterium
Lineage: Bacteria
Description: partial 16S ribosomal RNA
Rfam family: Bacterial small subunit ribosomal RNA
Source: RNAcentral